Molecule: ribosomal RNA, 468 nt
Filed under: uncultured bacterium
Lineage: Bacteria
Description: partial 16S ribosomal RNA
Rfam family: Bacterial small subunit ribosomal RNA
Source: RNAcentral
GACGAACGCUGGCGGCGUGCCUAACACAUGCAAGUCGAACGGUAAGGCCCUGCCUUUGUCUUGUGCUCGAGUGGCGAACGGGUGAGUAACACGUGAGUAACCUGCCUUUUACUUUGGGAUAACUUCUGGAAACUGGGGCUAAUACCGCAUAACAGCACCUGCUGCAUGGUGACGGUUGGAAAGUUUCGGCGGCUGGGGUUGCAGUUGCGGCUGAUCAGCUUUUUGGAGUGGUAGCGGUAUCCCAAGGCGUUGACGGGGAGCCGGCCUGGGAGUGUGACCGGGCACAUUGGGCCUGAGGAAGGGGCCGGAGUGAAACGGGGGGCAGCGGUGGGAAACAUAGCGCGAUGGGCGGAAGCAGUGUGGAACAACGCCGGGUGCGGGAGGACGGCUUUCGGGUAGUAAACCGCGUGCGCCUGUGACGAAGCGUGAGUGACGGUAACGGGUAAAGAAGCACCGGCUAACUACGUG